CAGAACGAACGCUGGCGGCAGGCCUAAUACAUGCAAGUCGAGCGCGCCCUUCGGGGUGAGCGGCGGACGGGUGAGUAACGCGUGGGAAUAUGCCCUUCUCUAAGGAAUAGCCUCUGGAAACGGAGAGUAAUACCUUAUACGCCCUUUGGGGGAAAGAUUUAUCGGAGAAGGAUUAGCCCGCGUUAGAUUAGGUAGUUGGUGGGGUAAUGGCCUACCAAGCCUACGAUCUAUAGCUGGUUUGAGAGGAUGAUCAGCCACACUGGGACUGAGACACGGCCCAGACUCCUACGGGAGGCAGCAGUAGGGAAUCUUAGACAAUGGGGGCAACCCUGAUCUAGCCAUGCCGCGUGUGUGAUGAAGGCCCUAGGGUCGUAAAGCACUUUCGCCAGAGAUGAUAAUGACAGUAUCUGGUAAAGAAACCCCGGCUAACUCCGUGCCAGCAGCCGCGGUAAUACGGAGGGGGUUAGCGUUGUUCGGAAUUACUGGGCGUAAAGCGCACGUAGGCGGAUUAGUAAGUUAGAGGUGAAAUCCCAGGGCUCAACCCUGGAACUGCCUUUAAUACUGCUAGUCUUGAGUUCGAGAGAGGUAAGUGGAAUUCCGAGUGUAGAGGUGAAAUUCGUAGAUAUUCGGAGGAACACCAGUGGCGAAGGCGGCUUACUGGCUCGAUACUGACGCUGAGGUGCGAAAGUGUGGGGAGCAAACAGGAUUAGAUACCCUGGUAGUCCACACCGUAAACGAUGAAUGCCAGACGUCAGCAAGUAUACUUGU
RNAcentral lists this ribosomal RNA (768 nucleotides) under uncultured Paracoccaceae bacterium. RNAcentral describes it as "bacterial SSU rRNA". It matches the Rfam family "Bacterial small subunit ribosomal RNA", at positions 25 to 840 of the family's 1533-position model. Lineage: Bacteria; Pseudomonadati; Pseudomonadota; Alphaproteobacteria; Rhodobacterales; Paracoccaceae. The record is from RNAcentral.